GGGGGGGGGGGGGGGGGGGCGGGGGGCGGGCGGGUCGGGCGGGGGGGGCCUGCGUUUGUGGGGUGCUCGAGGGGCGAACGGGUGAGUAACACGUGAGUAACCUGCCCUUGACUUUGGGAUAACUUCAGGAAACUGGGGCUAAUACCGGAUAGGAGCUCCUGCUGCAUGGUGGGGGUUGGAAAGUUUCGGCGGUUGGGGAUGGACUCGCGGCUUAUCAGCUUGUUGGUGGGGUAGUGGCUUACCAAGGCUUUGACGGGUAGCCGGCCUGAGAGGGUGACCGGCCACAUUGGGACUGAGAUACGGCCCAGACUCCUACGGGAGGCAGCAGUGGGGAAUAUUGCACAAUGGGCGGAAGCCUGAUGCAGCAACGCCGCGUGCGGGAUGACGGCCUUCGGGUUGUAAACCGCUUUCGCCUGUGACGAAGCGUGAGUGACGGUAAUGGGUAAAGAAGCACCGGCUAACUACGUG
RNAcentral lists this ribosomal RNA (468 nucleotides) under uncultured bacterium. RNAcentral's name for it is "partial 16S ribosomal RNA". It matches the Rfam family "Bacterial small subunit ribosomal RNA", at positions 39 to 507 of the family's 1533-position model. The record is from RNAcentral.